RNAcentral lists this microRNA precursor (103 nucleotides) under Marmota monax (woodchuck). The record is from RNAcentral. Lineage: Eukaryota; Metazoa; Chordata; Mammalia; Rodentia; Sciuridae.
AGUGGGAUAGCUGGGUCAAAUAGUGGUUUCAUUCCAAGUUUUCUAGGGAAUCACCAUACUGCUUUCCAGGUUGGUUGCACCAAUUUGCAGUUCCAUCAGCAAU